GUCGAGACGGUCAGAGGAAAAAGGGCCUCAGUUUUGGUAUUACCUUAUAGAGGAAAGAUGUAAAUUACAUGUAAUUUUGUUCAGGUGAUGCAAAGCUGGUGCUAUUAUCUCAACAUACUUUGUAGUAAUACCUUAUCACCAUUAGUGGAGACCAAAUUAUGUUGUAUUAUGAUAUUCCGUCCAUCAGAAACAACUUCUCUACCUCUAAGGUAAAGGUAAGGUGUGCGUCUCCUCCAAACCCCAUUCUGUAGGAUUACACUGGCUAUGUUGUUGUAUACAGAAAUGAAAGAGAUGAUUAGGUCUAUUUGACUUGCUAAAUCAUGUAUAUUAUUGUAUUACUGUAAUUCACUUCUG
RNAcentral lists this unclassified non-coding RNA (354 nucleotides) under Hevea brasiliensis (rubber tree). The record is from RNAcentral. Lineage: Eukaryota; Viridiplantae; Streptophyta; Magnoliopsida; Malpighiales; Euphorbiaceae.